RNAcentral lists this ribosomal RNA (404 nucleotides) under Verrucomicrobiota bacterium. RNAcentral's name for it is "Verrucomicrobia bacterium partial 16S ribosomal RNA". It matches the Rfam family "Bacterial small subunit ribosomal RNA", at positions 355 to 776 of the family's 1533-position model. The record is from RNAcentral. Lineage: Bacteria; Pseudomonadati; Verrucomicrobiota.
UGGGGAAUAUUGCACAAUGGGGGAAACCCUGAUGCAGCGACGCCGCGUGAGCGAAGAAGGCUUUCGAGUCGUAAAGCUCUGUCCUAUGAGAAGAUAAUGACGGUAUCAUAGGAGGAAGCCCUGGCUAAAUACGUGCCAGCAGCCGCGGUAAUACGUAUGGGGCGAGCGUUGUCCGGAAUUAUUGGGCGUAAAGAGCUUGUAGGCGGCUCGUCGCGUCUGGUGUGAAAGCCCAUCGCUUAACGGUGGGUUUGCGCCGGGUACGGGCGGGCUAGAGUGCAGUAGGGGAGACUGGAAUUCCCGGUGUAACGGUGGAAUGUGUAGAUAUUGGGAGGAACACCAGUAGCGAAGGCGGCUUUCUGGACUGCAACUGACACUGAGGCACGAAAGCGUGGGUAGCAAACAGG